GUUUCUUCUCCUUAUCCGCAUGGUGGCCAGUGAUUAACUCUGUCAUUCCUUCCUUACGUAGUAGCUAGCCUCACUAGGGACAGAAGCGAACACAAUGCUUAAGAGUCUGCUUCCGAUUAAAACUCUCCCAAGUAGUCUUCUUUCUCGAGUGGUGACUACUUGGGAGAUCAGAGACAAACAGAUAAGAUAGAUGAUGAAGUUAUCCAAAAAGAGAUCAGAGACAAACAGAUAAGAUAGAUGAUGAAGUUAUCCAUGCUUCACUUCCAGAAAUCGUCAAAACCAAACGAGUUUUGCCGAAUGAAUAACGAUGGCAAUCAUACAUUACGCACGGUGAAAGACUCAAAGCUAACGAGGCACUAUCAAGAACCUCCCAGUCAAUUGUUGCUUAUACUGGUAAGCUAUUUUUGGUAAAGUACAACAAGUUUAGCCCCUUAUUGAUAGAUGUAAGUCGCACAGUUUUUAGUCUUUUGGACCCAAUAUAGUUUCCAGAGUUGUUGAUA
Molecule: long non-coding RNA, 500 nt
Organism: Camelina sativa (false flax)
Lineage: Eukaryota; Viridiplantae; Streptophyta; Magnoliopsida; Brassicales; Brassicaceae
Source: RefSeq, a predicted model, not a curated record